Molecule: ribosomal RNA, 253 nt
Filed under: uncultured bacterium
Lineage: Bacteria
Description: partial 16S ribosomal RNA
Rfam family: Bacterial small subunit ribosomal RNA
Source: RNAcentral
UACGUAGGUGGCAAGCGUUGUCCGGAUUUAUUGGGUUUAAAGGGUGCGUAGGCGGUCUAUUAAGUCAGUUGUGAAAUACGGCAGCUCAACUGUCGAGGUGCAAUUGAUACUGAUGGACUUGAGUACUGAUGAGGUAAGCGGAAUGGACGGUGUAGCGGUGAAAUGCGUAGAUAUCGGGAGGAACACCAGAGGCGAAAGCGGCGUAGUGGACAGUAACUGACACUCAAUUGCGAAAGCGUGGGGAGCAAACAGG